RNAcentral lists this ribosomal RNA (394 nucleotides) under uncultured bacterium. RNAcentral's name for it is "bacterial SSU rRNA". It matches the Rfam family "Bacterial small subunit ribosomal RNA", at positions 28 to 420 of the family's 1533-position model. The record is from RNAcentral.
GACGAACGCUGGCGGCGUGCUUAACACAUGCAAGUCGAGCGGUAAGGCCCUUUCGGGGGUACACGAGCGGCGAACGGGUGAGUAACACGUGGGUGACCUGCCCUCAGCUCUGGGAGUAAGCCUGGGAAACCGGGUCUAAUACUGGAUAUGACUCCAUGACGCAUGUUGGUGGGGUGGAAAGCCUUGUGCGGCUGAGGAUGGGCCCGCGGCCUAUCAGCUUGUUGGUGGGGUGANGGCCUACCAAGGCGACGACGGGUAGCCGGCCUGAGAGGGCGACCGGCCACACUGGGACUGAGACACGGCCCAGACUCCUACGGGAGGCAGCAGUGGGGAAUCUUGCGCAAUGGGCGAAAAGCCUGACGCAGCGACGCCGCGUGAGGGAUGACGGCCUCGG